Pelobates cultripes (western spadefoot toad) is the source of this 311-nucleotide non-coding RNA. The record is from the annotation of a GenBank genome assembly. NCBI's taxonomy places the organism in Eukaryota, Metazoa, Chordata, Amphibia, Anura, Pelobatidae.
CCCCAUCACUCUAAAUACUUAUUUUCUAUUUAAAUUAUCUUCUAAUAUUCCAGGAUUAUAUCAUUCUCCACUGAGUGACUUCAUUAUAAUUUAACUUUGCACAUUUACCCCUUGUAUUAUCUGCAGUUGAGUUCCGAAGUAUUUAUUAUCAAGGAAUAUUACAGAAGGGCUACAUUCAUAGUACAGGAGUCCUGAUUAUAAAAUUAUGUUGUGUAAUUCAUAACAUUGAAACUAUUAUGUGUUUGCAAGGGGUGUGUGUCUGUUGUGCAAUUCCAAAACAUAAAGUAUUCAGACAGGUUGAUCCACUUGUG